This 233-nucleotide ribosomal RNA is filed under the name uncultured bacterium. Its description in RNAcentral is "partial 16S ribosomal RNA". It matches the Rfam family "Bacterial small subunit ribosomal RNA", at positions 15 to 244 of the family's 1533-position model. The record is from RNAcentral.
GAUCCUGGCUCAGGACGAACGCUGGCGGUGUGCUUAAUACAUGCAAGUCGAGCGGACUUGCGGGGGCUUGCUCCUGCAAGUUAGCGGCGGACGGGUGAGUAACGCGCGAGCAACCUGCCUAUAUCUGGGGAAUAACACAGAGAAAUUUGUGCUAAUACCGCAUAUGACCACAGUGGGGCAUCCCACAGGGGUGAAAGAUUUUAUCGGAUAUAGAUGGGCUCACGUACCAUUAG